This 460-nucleotide ribosomal RNA is filed under the name uncultured bacterium. RNAcentral's name for it is "partial 16S ribosomal RNA". It matches the Rfam family "Bacterial small subunit ribosomal RNA", at positions 338 to 795 of the family's 1533-position model. The record is from RNAcentral.
CCUACGGGUGGCAGCAGUGAGGAAUAUUGGUCAAUGGGCUUACGCCUGAACCAGCCAAGUCGCGUGAGGGAAGACUGCCCUAUGGGUUGUAAACCUCUUUUGUCAGGGAGCAAUUGGCGCUACGUGUAGCGUUAUCGAGAGUACCUGAAGAAAAAGCAUCGGCUAACUCCGUGCCAGCAGCCGCGGUAAUACGGGGGAUGCGAGCGUUAUCCGGAUUUAUUGGGUUUAAGGGGUGCGUAGGCGGAAUGCCAAGUCAGCGGUAAAAUCGCGGGGCUCAACCUCGCUCCGCCGUUGAAACUGGCGUUCUUGAGUGGGCGAGAAGUAUGCGGAAUGCGUGGUGUAGCGGUGAAAUGCAUAGAUAUCACGCAGAACACCGGUGGCGAAGGCGGCCAACUGGGCUUUAACUGACGCUGAGGCUCGAAAGUGUGGGGAGCAAACAGGAUUAGAUACCCGAGUAGUC